CCUWCGGGGGGYGCWGCCAGUAGGGAAUCUUCCGCAAUGGGCGAAAGCCUGACGGAGCAAUGCCGCGUGAGUGAUGAAGGUUUUCGGAUCGUAAAGCUCUGUUGCCAGGGAAGAACGCUUGGGAGAGUAACUGCUCUCAAGGUGACGGUACCUGAGAAGAAAGCCCCGGCUAACUACGUGCCAGCAGCCGCGGUAAUACGUAGGGGGCAAGCGUUGUCCGGAAUUAUUGGGCGUAAAGCGCGCGCAGGCGGUCAUUUAAGUCUGGUGUUUAAUCCCGGGGCUCAACCCCGGAUCGCACUGGAAACUGGGUGACUUGAGUGCAGAAGAGGAGAGUGGAAUUCCACGUGUAGCGGUGAAAUGCGUAGAUAUGUGGAGGAACACCAGUGGCGAAGGCGACUCUCUGGGCUGUAACUGACGCUGAGGCGCGAAAGCGUGGGGAGCAAACAGGAUUAGAUACCCCCU
Molecule: ribosomal RNA, 462 nt
Filed under: Paenibacillus pabuli
Lineage: Bacteria; Bacillati; Bacillota; Bacilli; Caryophanales; Paenibacillaceae
Description: bacterial SSU rRNA
Source: RNAcentral